UACAGAGGGGGCAAGCGUUGUUCGGAAUUACUGGGCGUAAAGGGCGCGUAGGCGGCCUUCUAAGUCGAACGUGAAAUCCCCGGGCUCAACCCGGGAACUGCGUCCGAUACUGGAUGGCUUGAGUUUGGGAGAGGGAUGCGGAAUUCCAGGUGUAGCGGUGAAAUGCGUAGAUAUCUGGAGGAACACCGGUGGCAAAGGCGGCAUCCUGGACCAACACUGACGCUGAGGAGCGAAAGCCAGGGGAGCAAACGGG
Molecule: ribosomal RNA, 253 nt
Filed under: uncultured bacterium
Lineage: Bacteria
Description: partial 16S ribosomal RNA
Rfam family: Bacterial small subunit ribosomal RNA
Source: RNAcentral